RNAcentral lists this ribosomal RNA (468 nucleotides) under uncultured bacterium. RNAcentral's name for it is "partial 16S ribosomal RNA". It matches the Rfam family "Bacterial small subunit ribosomal RNA", at positions 28 to 507 of the family's 1533-position model. The record is from RNAcentral.
GACGAACGCUGGCGGCGUGCUUAACACAUGCAAGUCGAACGGAAAGGCCCUGCUUUUGUGGGGUGCUCGAGUGGCGAACGGGUGAGUAACACGUGAGUAUCCUGCCCUUGACUUUGGGAUAACUUCAGGAAACUGGGGCUAAUACCGGAUAGGAGCGCCUGCUGCAUGGGGGGGGUUGGAAAGUUUCGGCGGUUGGGGCUGGACUCGCGGCUUAUCAGCUGGUGGGUGGGGUAGUGGCUUACCAAGGCUUUGACGGGUAGCCGGCCUGAGAGGGUGACCGGCCACAUGGGGACUGCGAUACGGCCCAGACUCCUACGGGCGGCAGCAGGGGGGAAUAUUGCACAAUGGGCGGACGCCUGAUGCAGAAGCGCCGCGUGCGGGAUGACGGCCUUCGGGUUGUAAACCGCUUUCGCCUGUGACGAAGCGUGAGUGACGGUAAUGGGUAAAGAAGCACCGGCUAACUACGUG